GGAUUGUUAGCUCAGUGGUAAAACAUUGGCUUUGCAUGCAGAAGCUCUGCAGGUUCCAUUCCUGGCAUAUCCA
This is a non-coding RNA of Podarcis lilfordi (Lilford's wall lizard), 73 nucleotides long. NCBI's taxonomy places the organism in Eukaryota, Metazoa, Chordata, Lepidosauria, Squamata, Lacertidae. The record is from the annotation of a GenBank genome assembly.